ACAGCAGUAGCCGCGGGAAUACGGAGGGGGCUAGCGUUGUUCGGAAUUACUGGGCGUAAAGCGCACGUAGGCGGCUUGGUAAGUUAGAGGUGAAAGCCCGGAGCUCGACUCCGGAAUUGCCUUUAAGACUGCCGAGCUAGUAGGUGAGAGAGGUAAGUGGAAUUCCGAGUGUAGAGGUGAAAUUCGUAGAUAUUCGGAAGAACACCAGUGGCGAAGGCGGCUUACUGGCUCAUUCUAGACGCUGAGGUGCGAAAGCGUGGGGAGCAAACAGGAUUAGAUACCCGGGUAGUCCCUGUCUCUUAUAC
This 305-nucleotide ribosomal RNA is filed under the name uncultured bacterium. Its description in RNAcentral is "partial 16S ribosomal RNA". It matches the Rfam family "Bacterial small subunit ribosomal RNA", at positions 508 to 807 of the family's 1533-position model. The record is from RNAcentral.